GGGGAUUUAGCUCAGCGGCAUAAGCGCCUGCCUUGCAAGCAGGCAGUUGGGAGUUCGAUCCCCAGUACCGA
Transfer RNA from Cavia porcellus (domestic guinea pig), 71 nucleotides. It matches the Rfam family "tRNA". Rfam says of the family: Transfer RNA (tRNA) molecules are approximately 80 nucleotides in length. Their secondary structure includes four short double-helical elements and three loops (D, anti-codon, and T loops). Further hydrogen bonds mediate the characteristic L-shaped molecular structure. tRNAs have two regions of fundamental functional importance: the anti-codon, which is responsible for specific mRNA codon recognition, and the 3' end, to which the tRNAs corresponding amino acid is attached (by aminoacyl-tRNA synthetases). tRNAs cope with the degeneracy of the genetic code in two manners: having more than one tRNA (with a specific anti-codon) for a particular amino acid; and 'wobble' base-pairing, i.e. permitting non-standard base-pairing at the 3rd anti-codon position. The record is from Rfam. NCBI's taxonomy places the organism in Eukaryota, Metazoa, Chordata, Mammalia, Rodentia, Caviidae.